This 475-nucleotide ribosomal RNA is filed under the name uncultured organism. Its description in RNAcentral is "partial 16S ribosomal RNA". It matches the Rfam family "Bacterial small subunit ribosomal RNA", at positions 335 to 801 of the family's 1533-position model. The record is from RNAcentral.
ACUCCUACGGGAGGCAGCAGUGGGGAAUUUUGGACAAUGGGCGAAAGCCUGAUCCAGCAAUGCCGCGUGAGUGAAGAAGGCCUUCGGGUUGUAAAGCUCUUUUGUCAGGGAAGAAACGGUGAAAGCUAAUAUCUUUUGCUAAUGACGGUACCUGAAGAAUAAGCACCGGCUAACUACGUGCCAGCAGCCGCGGUAAUACGUAGGGUGCACGCGUUAAUCGGAAUUACUGGGCGUAAAGCGUGCGCAGGCGGUUUUGUAAGUCUGAUGUGAAAUCCCCGGGCUCAACCUGGGAAUUGCAUUGGAGACUGCAAGGCUAGAAUCUGGCAGAGGGGGGUAGAAUUCCACGUGUAGCAGUGAAAUGCGUAGAUAUGUGGAGGAACACCGAUGGCGAAGGCAGCCCCCUGGGUCAAGAUUGACGCUCAUGCACGAAAGCGUGGGGAGCAAACAGGAGUAGAAACCCGAGUAGUCCCAUGAU